GAACGCACAUUGCGCCCCUGGGCAUUCCAUGGGGCAUGCCUGUUCGAGCGUCAUUUGUACCUUCAAGCUCUGCUUGGUGUUGGGUGUUUGUCUCGCCUUUGCGUGUAGACUCGCCUUAAAACAAUUGGCAGCCGGCGUAUUGAUUUCGGAGCGCAGUACAUCUCGCGCUUUGCACUCAUAACGACGACGUCCAAAAAGUACUUUUUACACUCUUGACCUCGGAUCAGGUAGGGAUACCCGCUGAACUUAAG
Molecule: unclassified non-coding RNA, 251 nt
Filed under: uncultured Didymellaceae
Lineage: Eukaryota; Fungi; Ascomycota; Dothideomycetes; Pleosporales; Didymellaceae
Description: sequence contains 5.8S rRNA gene
Source: RNAcentral